RNAcentral lists this ribosomal RNA (377 nucleotides) under uncultured bacterium. Its description in RNAcentral is "bacterial SSU rRNA". It matches the Rfam family "Bacterial small subunit ribosomal RNA", at positions 524 to 898 of the family's 1533-position model. The record is from RNAcentral.
UACGUAGGGUGCGAGCGUUGUCCGGAAUUACUGGGCGUAAAGAGCUUGUAGGCGGUUCGUCGCGUCGCUCGUGAAAACUGGCAGCUCAACUGUUAGCUUGCGGGCGAUACGGGCGGACUAGAGUACUGCAGGGGAGACUGGAAUUCCUGGUGUAGCGGUGAAAUGCGCAGAUAUCAGGAGGAACACCGGUGGCGAAGGCGGGUCUCUGGGCAGUAACUGACGCUGAGAAGCGAAAGCGUGGGUAGCGAACAGGAUUAGAUACCCUGGUAGUCCACGCCGUAAACGGUGGGCGCUAGGUGUGGGUUUCCUUCCACGGGAUCCGUGCCGUAGCUAACGCAUUAAGCGCCCCGCCUGGGGAGUACGGCCGCAAGGCUAAA